This 1147-nucleotide long non-coding RNA is filed under the name Ornithorhynchus anatinus (platypus). Its description in RNAcentral is "lncRNA (ENSOANG00000034232.2)". Lineage: Eukaryota; Metazoa; Chordata; Mammalia; Monotremata; Ornithorhynchidae. The record is from RNAcentral.
UAGAUCCAUUCCCUGCCCACAACAAGCUUACAGUCUAGAGGGGGAGACAAACAUUGAUAUAAAUAAGAUAUGGACAUAAAAAGUGCUGUGGGGCUGAGGGAGGGAUGAAUAAUGGGAACAAAUCAGGGUGGAUUUAAAAAGGAGGGGGAGAAGAGGAAUGAGAGCUUAAUCAGGGAAGGCCUCAUGGAGGUGUACCUUCUAUAAGGCUUUGAAGAUGGGGAGAAAUUGUCUGGAUAAGAAGAGGGAAGAAGUUGCAGGACAUGGGCAAGUGGCUUGGUGGUAAGGUAGAUGAAAUCAAGAUACUGUGAAAUGGUUGGCAUUUCAAGGCUGUGGGUGUGUGUUUAGGAGGCAGAGAGAGGGAGGUCGGGUGGUGGGGAAGAGCAGGCAGGAACCCUUGAGGCAAAAUCAAAGAAAAUCAGUGAUCUGGCUUAAAGGAAGGAACUCCUGCAUCUAGCAUAGCUAUGUCCUCUAGUCUUGCUUCCUUUUACAGGGGGAUGGCUUAGUACUAUGGGUGGUUUCCUGCCCUCUCCAUUUUCUCCUCUUUCUUCUCUCCCCAUUUCCCUCCACAUAUCCACACCCCCUCCCCCCAAAACAGUUUCAGUAUUAGAUCAAGCUCCUAAAUACUGUGUGCCUGGCUUGUUGGAAGGAAACUGGUGAGUCCUCUGCCUUGAGGUUUUCCUGGGAACAGCCCAGAGGAGGCUGGUCAAUUCUUGGCUCCACACACUCUCUUGUGGUGGUCUGGAUCUCCUUUUCCCAGUCCCCUCUCCCUGCCCGCCCCCAAACGGAAAGCAGGCAAAGCCAACCGAGUCUCCUUUGCCUUGUGACCCAGGUGAGUCCCCACCCGUGAAGGGCACUGUGAAGGAGGUGCUGGACACACUGACCAAGCUGACUUCAAAGGUGCGUGGCCCUGCUGGCCCCUCACCAUUGUCCAAAUUGUCAUGGAGGGCUGAGGAGGGGAUCAGGCAGGGUAUUAUUCCUAGCAGAGGCUUUAACACUUCCCAAAAAUGACUGGGCAAUGAGAGCCAUUCAGAAAGCUGGUUGGGGCUUCCUAAAUUAGAAGUAUUCUUCACUGCCACACCCCCUCCCCUUCCUCCAUCCAGCAAACAUAACUACUCCCACCUUUCUCUCCGCCAAGCAAAUGCUCUCU